RNAcentral lists this ribosomal RNA (500 nucleotides) under uncultured eukaryote. RNAcentral's name for it is "SSU rRNA". It matches the Rfam family "Eukaryotic small subunit ribosomal RNA", at positions 62 to 548 of the family's 1831-position model. The record is from RNAcentral.
AGUGCACCACAACGCCUGGAUGUCAAUAUAAUGGAUAAGUAAAACUGCGAAGGUCAUUAAAACAGUUAUAGUUAUUUGGUAAUCGAAUUACUGGAUAACCGGGGUAAUUUUAGAGCUAAUACUGCUGUAAAGCCCGAUUUCUCGGAAGGGCCGUAUUUAUUAGAUAACAGACCAGCAGCUUCGGCUAUUGUGGUGAAUCAUAGUAACUAAUCGGAAUCGCAUGGGGCUAGUCCCGCGACAAACCAUUCAAGUUUUCUGCCCCCAUCAGCUUUUCGACGGUAGUGUAUUGGGACUACCGUGGGCUUUUUACGGGUAACGGAGGAUUAGGGUUCGAUUCCGGAGAGGGAGCCUGAGAAACGGCUACCACAUCUAAGGAAGGCAGCAGGCGCGUAAAUUACCCAAUUCUGAUUCAGUGAGGUAGUGACAAGAAAUAACGGGUCGGGAUUUUUUUCCCGGGACUGCAAUGAGAUGAACUUAUACCCCCUUUUUCGAGUAACAAU